CCAGACUCCUACGGGAGGCAGCAGUGAGGAAUAUUGGUCAAUGGCCGGAAGGCUGAACCAGCCAAGUCGCGUGAAGGACGAAGGUGCCAAGCAUUGUAAACUUCUUUUGUCAAGGGACAAAAUCAGGCUCGAGAGCCUGACCGAGGGUACUUGAAGAAAAAGCAUCGGCUAACUCCGUGCCAGCAGCCGCGGUAAUACGGAGGAUGCGAGCGUUAUCCGGAUUUAUUGGGUUUAAAGGGUGCGUAGGCGGGCUGUUAAGUCGGCGGUAAAAUGUCGGGGCUCAACCCCGGCCUGCCGUUGAAACUGGCGGCCUCGAGUGGGCGAGAAGUAUGCGGAAUGCGUGGUGUAGCGGUGAAAUGCAUAGAUAUCACGCAGAACCCCGAUUGCGAAGGCAGCAUGCCGGCUUCCUACUGACGCUGAAGCACGAAAGCGUGGGGAUCGAACAGGAUUAGAUACCCCUGUAA
RNAcentral lists this ribosomal RNA (464 nucleotides) under uncultured bacterium. RNAcentral describes it as "bacterial SSU rRNA". It matches the Rfam family "Bacterial small subunit ribosomal RNA", at positions 331 to 793 of the family's 1533-position model. The record is from RNAcentral.